This 4144-nucleotide long non-coding RNA is filed under the name Salmo salar (Atlantic salmon). RNAcentral's name for it is "lncRNA (ENSSSAG00000099715.1)". Lineage: Eukaryota; Metazoa; Chordata; Actinopteri; Salmoniformes; Salmonidae. The record is from RNAcentral.
CCCCUGUCACAAGCGCUUCUUGUCGUCAGGCGUUCAUUGGCUCCACUGAGCUGGUUGCUAGGCAAUCCAGGCUGCAUUAAUAUGCGCGGUAGAAGGAGCAGGGGAAGCCUCUUCUCUCUGGAGCGUGGCAACUGCUAUGACAGCGUCAGCAUGGGUAGAAGACUGAAUCCCUCGCUCACAGCCCCUGCUCUUAUAGCCUUCCAGCGCACAUACUGUUCGGUAGACAGCAAGGGAAACACAGCCACUAGAGCAGAGUAACAAGACAAGGGUGGUUAGGUUGCUAACAAUUUACAGAGGGAAAUCCACUGUCUGAAAUCAGUUGAAGUUGUUGCUUGUUUGAAUAGUUUUUUUUUACCUUAAAAUUGAAAAGCCAGCUGAAACUGUUUCAAAUUUGCUAAGCCUCAUGAGCCAACGUUUGACAGUGUGAGUUAGUAUUUUAAAAAGAAAACUGUAUGUUAUAGUAUGUAUUUUAGGGUUGACGUGUACAGUACUCUGAUAUCAGAAAGAAGACUAAAGUCUUUGGUGGAAUCAACAGAGGUUUGCAAAGCAAAAAGAUGGGAGAUUGAAUUGUACACAUGAAACCACUUCCCUCAUCUGCUCAUCAUCUGACUCCCCUCUUCAACCUGACAUCAUCUCCCCAUCAGAAGAGGAGAGAAGAGCAGUACUGUUCCAGCUCUGGCUCGUCAAGGCUGAGGAGGAGAAACUGACGACAGCGCGAACUUGGUCACUAGUGAGAUGCAACUCGGGGAGGGAACACUCAACUGCCGCGGGGUACGACAUCUGAUGAAAGAAGCCCUCGAAUUGGACAGCCUGGAAGACGAGCCAGCCCUCUCCCUCAGAUCCCGUGCCCCCCCGCUGCCAAUGUAUGAAAGGGACCGACUUUUCCCUUAGUUGCCAGGGAUGUCUGUGCACUACAGAAAGGCGAAAAAUCCCUCCAGUAUGUCCAAUGCUAUGUUCUUCCUGAUGCUCUGCAAGACUGGUCUGAAAGGAAAACUGCAGACCAUUCCUGGAAAAAUGGUAAACACUGCCAUCUGUGAUGAAGAAAAAGGAAUUCAAGACAAGGAAGGUACAGAGGAGUCCAUACUGGCCAUGCUUGGGAUCAUCGGCACCAUUCUCAACAUGGUAGUGAUCAUCUUUGUCUACAUCUACACCACGCUGUGACUGUGAUAAAAAGCAACUAUUUUGCAUUGAACAGGCCUAUCGGGCCUACUGGAUGCAGCCAUGUUGUUUGGCUGGGAGUUGAGACUGUGCCGAGAUGGCACUGUGUCGUCGAUCGACUUUCCCAACUAUCAAAGGGAUCUAAGGCUGUGUGAUUACCGCAUUAAAUGUAACCUACAGCAGCGUCAUAGAGCGGCGCUGAAACUAUGUCUAUGGGAGACUGGCCCGUUCUUAUGGGACCUUUGUCCGGGGGUGUCAGUAUCAUACCUACUCUCUGAUGCUACUUUGACCUUUUAACCUGUAAAUAUGCAUGAGGCUAGCACGAGCCACGCUCUCAAGAUCCAGCUUUCUUUCACAGGUGCCAAGCCGAGGAGAAAGUAAAGAGACUGCAAUCUGGUGUAAAAUGAGCUUAAAGCACUGCAGCAGUCUUUUGAAAAAGCCUGAUAAACAUUUUGAUAUUAAAAGGGAUGAUACAGCAUACCUAGAGAGUGGACAGAUGACAUUCUGGAGAAAAGGCAUGGUUUGUGCGAUCCGCGAUCCUUUGUACGUCCAUACCUUAAACCCUAACCCUAACCUUAACCCCUACCCUUACACUUACCUUAAUCAUAACCCUUACCUAACCCUAACCUUAACACUUAACCAUUUUACAUUUCAACUUCAACGAGGUAGGGACGUCCCAAGGAUCUCUGAUUGCAAUGACCAAAAAGGCAUGUACAGUAUGAGUAAACGGAUCAUUUAGCCAAAACUGUUUUUACACAAGUACUAUCAUAUUGUAAAAGAAAAAGUUUUUACAGAAAAAGACUUUGAACUGAGUGUGUUUAGUGGGUAGGCAGUAGAAAUGUGUAAGUCAACCUGAGUGUACGCUAUUUAUUGCCGUGUUCUGAUUUCUAUUUUCAGGAAAGAAUAUUUUGAACCAUGUUACUUUACAUAAUUUGUUUACUGUAAGUACAGUAAUAGAAAAGGAGACAACCAUUUUUGGAAAUAUCUCUAUUUUGGCAGUAGCAAAAUGAGGAGGAAAUUUUCAAUUUCUAAGAGUUCUUGUUAGUGUUGUUGAGAUGCACUUUUUCAUGAGUAUCAAGAAACCAAGUGAAUGAAAUUAUGUUAAGUUUUGCUUUCUGGAGGUAGGUAGGUAUUUGGUGAAGUAGGGCGUAGCAUCAAAUAUGAUCACAAACAGGUGAUCUUCAUAAGACAUGAUAGAGUGUCAAAAUGUGCAUUUAAAAUGGUGAUAUGGGAAAUAAUACUAUUACAGUGUAAUCAAUCACUUUAUCUAAAUGUAUAAAGCUUUAACUGAGCUUCUGCGCUUCGAUUGAAGACUAUGUUUUGUGUUGUCCCCUCCUUCAGGACUGUGUCAAGUAAGUAAUCAAUGGUAAACUUCUGCAUAUUGAUUGUGUUGCCUUGAGAUAAUAUGUACAGUGAAUUUAAAAGCACAAUUUAGAAAUGACUAUUCACAGUACGUACGAAUGUAUGGGCAAAUGUGUGUAAAGUGUGUAUGCUGCAGCCUACAACCUCUUGUGAAUUUAAGAAAGUGCCUAAAUUCAAGUUCAGUAUCUCAAUCCCAUCGUUCAGAUCUCAAAGCAGAAGAGGACAACAUACAAGGGGAUCUAUCGGCAAGACAUGCCACACAGAGCAAAGUCUGUGAAAGUGCUUCAUGACUGUUUAACCUGCCCUAAUGGCUAUCUUCAGUACAACAUCUCUAGAACGCUGGUAACUAAUUACAGAUAAUCCUUGCUCAGUGUAUUAUGACACCCUCCAUCAUCUUUAUAUCUACUCUUGAUUUCCAUUAGGAGCCAUUAGAAAAGGUUCAAAAUUAGUCCCAAAGGUGACGUGUUCCUAUUCCAUUUACUCUUGAAUUGGCAGAGACUUGAAUGGGAACAGUAGUGGAGUAAGUACAUGGACAGGGUUGAGAAUGUACACCACCAUUCAAAAGUUUGGGGUCAAUUAGAAAUGUCCUUAUUUUUGAAAGAAAGACAACUUUUUUGUCCAUUAAAAUAACAUCAAAUUGAUCAGAAAUUUGGUGUAGACAUUGUUAAUGUUAUAAAUUACUAUUGAAGCUGGAAACCCCUGAUUUUUAAUGGAAUAUCUACAUAGGUGUACAGAGACCCAUUAUCAGCAACCAUCACUCCUGUGUUCCAAUGGCAUGUUGUGUUAGUUAAUCCAAGUUUAUAAUUUUACAAGGCUAAUUGAUCAUUACAAAACCCUUUUGUAAUUAUGUUAGCACAGUGGAAAACUGUUGUGCUGAUUUAAAGAAGCAAUUAAACUGGCCUUCUUUAGACUAGUUGAGUAUCUGGAGCAUCAGCAUUUGUGGGUUCGAUUACAGGCUCAAAAUGGCCAGAAACAAAUAACUUUCUUCUGAAACUCGUCAGUCUAUUCUUGUUCUGAGAAAUGAUGGCUAUUCCAUGUGAGAAAUUGCCAAGAAACUGAAGAUCUCAUACAACGUUGUGUACUACUCCCUUCACAGAACGGUGCACAACUGAGCAAAAGGACAUGUACAUUAGUGUCUAGUUUGAGAAACAGAUGCCUCACAAGUUCUCAACUGGCAGCUUCAUGAAAUAGUACCUGCAGUCCCAACGUCAACAGUGAAGACGUGACCCCGGGAUGCUGGCCUUCUAGGCAGAGUUGCUAAGAAAAAGCCAUAUCUCAGACACGCCAAUAAAAAGAAAAGAUUAAGAUGGGCAAACGAACACAGACACUGGAGAGAGGAACUCUGCCUAGAAGGCCCGCAUCCCGGAGUCGCCUCUUCCUUGUUGACAUUUAGACUGGUGUUUUGCGGGAUCUAUUUAAUGAAGCUGCUCAAUGUAUACAGUAAAGUGCUUGUUAGUCCAGGAGUCUUAAUCUGCGUCUGGGAAACUGUCCCGCAAAGCCCAUUACACAUAGUUUAAUGGGUAAUAUUGGAAGAAGUACUUUCAAUACUGGAAAAUUCCCGAACAUUCUCGGAUCUUAUCUUCCUUUUUUUUCAUGUCUAAGAUGCAGAGUUUUUUGUGUGCCG